GGCCUAACACAUGCAAGCCGAGCGGUAUAGAUUCUUCGGAAUCUAGAGAGCGGCGUACGGGUGCGGAACACGUGUGCAACCUACCUUUAUCAGGGGGAUAGCCUUUCGAAAGGAAGAUUAAUACCCCAUAAUAUAUUGACUGGCAUCAGUCGAUAUUGAAAACUCCGGUGGAUAGAGAUGGGCACGCGCAAGAUUAGAUAGUUGGUAGGGUAACGGCCUACCAAGUCAGUGAUCUUUAGGGGGCCUGAGAGGGUGAUCCCCCACACUGGUACUGAGACACGGACCAGACUCCUACGGGAGGCAGCAGUGAGGAAUAUUGGACAAUGGGUGAGAGCCUGAUCCAGCCAUCCCGCGUGAAGGACGACGGCCCUAUGGGUUGUAAACUUCUUUUGUAUAGGGAUAAACCUACUCUCGUGAGAGUAGCUGAAGGUACUAUACGAAUAAGCACCG
RNAcentral lists this ribosomal RNA (450 nucleotides) under uncultured Flavobacteriia bacterium. RNAcentral's name for it is "bacterial SSU rRNA". It matches the Rfam family "Bacterial small subunit ribosomal RNA", at positions 45 to 495 of the family's 1533-position model. Lineage: Bacteria; Pseudomonadati; Bacteroidota; Flavobacteriia. The record is from RNAcentral.